UGAGUAACCUGCCCUUAACUCUGGGAUAAGCCUGGGAAACUGGGUCUAAUACCGGAUAUGACUCCUCAUCGCAUGGUGGGGGGUGGAAAGCUUUAUUGUGGUUUUGGAUGGACUCGCGGCCUAUCAGCUUGUUGGUGAGGUAAUGGCUUACCAAGGCGACGACGGGUAGCCGGCCUGAGAGGGUGACCGGCCACACUGGGACUGAGACACGGCCCAGACUCCGUACGGGAGGCAG
This 235-nucleotide ribosomal RNA is filed under the name uncultured bacterium. Its description in RNAcentral is "partial 16S ribosomal RNA". It matches the Rfam family "Bacterial small subunit ribosomal RNA", at positions 118 to 351 of the family's 1533-position model. The record is from RNAcentral.